This 310-nucleotide long non-coding RNA is filed under the name Elaeis guineensis (African oil palm). RNAcentral's name for it is "long non-coding RNA (EGUI_LNC059315)". Lineage: Eukaryota; Viridiplantae; Streptophyta; Magnoliopsida; Arecales; Arecaceae. The record is from RNAcentral.
UCAUCCUAAUGCCCAGAUCUAAUAGAGAUCAGAUCUAAGAAGAGAAAAGAGAGAGAAGAAAAGAAGAAAAAGGGUUCUUCUUUCCUUCAUGGUGAUCUACUUCAGAUCCCGUCGGAUCUGUGCGAAAGAGUUCGCGCAGCGAUCUCCUUCUUCAAGAUCUAGAAGAAGAGAUCUAGAUCCAAGGCUAAAGAGCGAGAUCUGCCAGGUGCUAGCAUAUCAAUGAUCUUGGUGCUCCGAUCAGGCAUCUCUAUGUGGAUACCAGCAGAGGUCGGGCGCAUGCAUGGUUACGAUCAAAACUCUGGACAUCCGC